This 371-nucleotide ribosomal RNA is filed under the name uncultured bacterium. Its description in RNAcentral is "bacterial SSU rRNA". It matches the Rfam family "Bacterial small subunit ribosomal RNA", at positions 527 to 896 of the family's 1533-position model. The record is from RNAcentral.
GGGGGGGGCAAGCGUUGUUCGGAAUUACUGGGCGUAAAGGGCUCGUAGGCGGCCAACUAAGUCAGACGUGAAAUCCCUCGGCUUAACCGGGGAACUGCGUCUGAUACUGGAUGGCUUGAGUUUGGGAGAGGGAUGCGGAAUUCCAGGUGUAGCGGUGAAAUGCGUAGAUAUCUGGAGGAACACCGGUGGCGAAGGCGGCAUCCUGGACCAACACUGACGCUGAUGAGCGAAAGCCAGGGGAGCAAACGGGAUUAGAUACCCCGGUAGUCCUGGCCCUAAACGAUGAAUGCUUGGUGUGGCGGGUAUCGAUCCCUGCCGUGCCGAAGCUUACGCAUUAAGCAUUCCGCCUGGGGAGUACGGUCGCAAGGCUG